AGCUUCGGCCAUCCGGCGAGGGAUGAGCCCGCGGUGCAUUAGCUAGUUGGUGGGGUGAAGGCCCACCAAGGCGACGAUGCGUAGCUGGUCUGAGAGGAUGAUCAGCCACACUGGGACUGAGACACGGCCCAGACUCCUACGGGAGGCAGCAGUCAGGAAUCUUGCGCAAUGGGCGCAAGCCUGACCCAGCAACACCGUGUGUGCGAUGAAGGCCUUCGGGUCGUAAAGCCCUGUUGAUAGGGACGAAGGGCGAAGGGUUAAUAGCCC
RNAcentral lists this ribosomal RNA (267 nucleotides) under uncultured Rubrobacter sp. RNAcentral's name for it is "partial 16S ribosomal RNA". It matches the Rfam family "Bacterial small subunit ribosomal RNA", at positions 202 to 468 of the family's 1533-position model. Lineage: Bacteria; Bacillati; Actinomycetota; Rubrobacteria; Rubrobacterales; Rubrobacteraceae. The record is from RNAcentral.